Phascolarctos cinereus (koala) is the source of this 532-nucleotide non-coding RNA. NCBI's taxonomy places the organism in Eukaryota, Metazoa, Chordata, Mammalia, Diprotodontia, Phascolarctidae. The record is from RefSeq and is a predicted model, not a curated record.
UAAACAUCGAAAAGUGAGCACAGAAUCCUAAAGUCCUCACAUGCCAGGAAGAAAGCGAAAGCAAUUCAGACAGGGACAGCUCCCGGCUCCCGACCAAGCAAUAAUAUUGUAAUGAUCAAGGGGAGCAUGUGGUUUUUUUUAAGUAUUUCCUGAGAGUACAUCUGAACAAAUCUCAUUUGAGUGACUGUAGAUCUCACUGAGUGUUCAGAAGGUUGAUUCCUUCAGCUCUGUGUCAUUUGCAACAACAACAAAAAAACCAUCAUCUAUAUAUCUUCUCCAUCAGUAGAAAAUCCGUCUUCAAUAGAACUUUGUGCAAGACAACCACCAUGAUGCUCAUAAACAACAAGACAAUGGACAUAGUGGUAGCAUAGGUUUUUAUACUUCUCAGACAACUGUUGGAUGGGAUGUUUUUGGAGGAUUUAUGAAAGACAUAAAAUGACUCAGGAUGAGAUGGCAAAGAGAGACGAUCCCCUACUUACCAAUGAAAUCAGAUUUUCUGAAGUACGGAAGCAUUUCUAAACAGUCUGCGGCU